This 1441-nucleotide long non-coding RNA is filed under the name Homo sapiens (human). RNAcentral describes it as "HSALNT0302763". The record is from RNAcentral. Lineage: Eukaryota; Metazoa; Chordata; Mammalia; Primates; Hominidae.
GCAAAGCCAACUGGGGACCCCAGCUGAUUCUGCUGCUUCUUCCACUAAACACAUCCAUAAUAUUCUCUUUGGUAAUACUGCAGAUUUCCAAAUGUGCCAAAACAGCUAAGCAAAAAGCAUCAUUCCAACACGUUUAAUGACUGCUUUGGGAGCCCAACUUUAACAGUGAGACAGGCACAAAAGCAGUAGAGCUGUCCCACGUGGAAUGGGCUAUCUCGUGACACUGUGACCCCCUUUCUUUCACCCUGGGUCUUCAAAAAGAGAAUGGAUGACACUAUGAUGAGGAGGGGUCUCUAUAUUGGUGACAGGCCAAAAUACAGGACUACCUACAGUCCUUUCGCAGUCCAUAAUCCUCAAGUCCCUCAGCUCUUCCAUGUACCACCUUCUAGACUACACUUAAAAUGCAUCCUGAACGUUUGUAAAGUACCCUGAAGGAACCCAUUCCAGUUCUGAAUCCGAUUACUAGGUUCAAGCCACACAAAUAACAACAGUGCAGCUAGUCUGAGCUAGAGGCUUCUUUACCUAACUGCAAAGUAAAUGUCCUUUCUAUUCAGCCGCAUCUAGCUCUUGACCCUAUGUUUACCAUAGAUACCAGUUCUUCUCACUUAGAUUCUCUGACUUAUCAGAGUAUUAUAGAGCAAACAUUAGCUAUGCCUGUGACUUGAGUUGUGUCAAUCUGUAAUGAAAAUGUGCCAGCUUUAUCAUCACUCACAGACUUCUUAAUUAACCUUCUGAUAUUGUCAAAAUCGCACUCUCUUUUGUUCUAGAAAUGAGCAUUUACAUGUGCAUUUUUUUUCCUUCAUUGCUUUUUUACUGGCUGUUUUACCAAAUCCUGAUGUUCUUUAAAAAGUGUAUUCUGCAAAAACAAAAGAAAGCAAUAAUUAUAGACACUACAAUAUAGAAUUUCUUCCCUGAAACUCUCUCAUGGUCCUUAGAUUCCUUGAUACUUCACCAGUGACUUUAAUAACAUCAAUCACUCAUUUUAAAACUCUUUUUUGAUCAAUGCUAUCCUCUUAGAGCCUUGAUUACUCAAACAACAGGUUACUAACUUCACCUUUUAAGAGUUCUCCUCCUAGGCUUUUUCUCAAUAAAGGGAGGAAGUAGAGAUGACAUUUUGCGUGCCCCUUUAUCUAUAAAAAUGCCAGCCACCAAUCUGUCAGGCCUAAACAAAAUUUUUCUGCAAGCUGUGUCUUUAACAUAAGCAAAGCAUAUAAUUCCAAAAAAAAAAAAUCUUGCUUUUCUGAAAAGCAACUAAGCCAAAGACAUUGUGUUCCAUCUUUGUGUUGAAAUGCAGAUUUCCCACUAAAAGGCAAAUCCUUCAUUUCAAAAGGUUGAAUAGGAUGGUACUUAAAAAAAGAAUUCCAGCUGGUUAAAUUUAGGGUGUUAAAAAAAGUUCACUCCAAUAAUAUUCUUUGGCUCUGGGCCCAAAGUAUUUUCACUU